GAUGAAGAACGUAGCGAAAUGCGAUACUUGGUGUGAAUUGCAGAAUCCCGUGAACCAUCGAGUCUUUGAACACAAGUUGCGCCCGAAGCCAUUAGGCCGAGGGCACGCCUGCCUGGGCGUCACACGUCGUUGCCCCCCCAUCUACUCCUUCGGGAUUGCGGGGGGCGGAUGAUGGCCUCCCGUGCGCCUCGUCGCGCGGUUGGCAUAAAUGCCAAGUCCUCGGCGACACACGCCACGACAAUCGGUGGUUGCGAAACCUCGGUUGCCCGUCGUGUGCGGUCGUCGCGCAUCGAGGGCUCGAAAAAAUUGCCGGGCUCCGGCUCGGCUUUCAACGUGACCCCAGGUCAGGCGGGGUUACCCGCUGAAUUUAAGCAUAUCAAUAAGCGGAGGA
This 391-nucleotide unclassified non-coding RNA is filed under the name soil metagenome. RNAcentral describes it as "partial contains 5.8S ribosomal RNA, internal transcribed spacer 2, and large subunit ribosomal RNA". The stretch from base 1 to 122 matches the Rfam family "5.8S ribosomal RNA", at positions 35 to 154 of the family's 154-position model. The record is from RNAcentral.